CGACGGGUGAGUAACGCGUAUGCAACUUACCUAUCAGGAGGGGAUAACCCGGCGAAGUCGGACUAAUACCGCAUGAAGCAGGGGCCCCGCAUGGGGAUAUUUGCUAAAGAUUCAUCGCUGAUAGAUAGGCAUGCGCUCCAUUAGGCAGUUGGCGGGGUAACGGCCCACCAAACCGACGAUGGAUAGGGGUUCUGAGAGGAAGGUCCCCCACAUUGGUACUGAGACACGGACCAA
Molecule: ribosomal RNA, 234 nt
Filed under: uncultured bacterium
Lineage: Bacteria
Description: partial 16S ribosomal RNA
Rfam family: Bacterial small subunit ribosomal RNA
Source: RNAcentral